AGCUACGCAUGCAGCCGAGCGGUAGAGAUUCUUCGGAAUCUUGAGAGCGGCGCACGGGUGCGGAACACGUGUGCAACCUGCCUUUAUCUGGGGGAUAGCCUUUCGAAAGGGAGAUUAAUACCCCAUAAUAUAAUGAGUGGCAUCACUUGUUAUUGAAAACUCCGGUGGAUAGAGAUGGGCACGCGCAAGAUUAGAUAGUUGGUGAGGUAACGGCUCACCAAGUCAAUGAUCUUUAGGGGGCCUGAGAGGGUGAUCCCCCACACUGGUACUGAGACACGGACCAGACUCCUACGGGAGGCAGCAGUGAGGAAUAUUGGACAAUGGGUGAGAGCCUGAUCCAGCCAUCCCGCGUGAAGGACGACGGCCCUAUGGGUUGUAAACUUCUUUUGUACAGGGAUAAACCUUUCCACGUGUGGAGAGCUGAAGGUACUGUACGAAUAAGCACCGGCUAACUCCGUGCCAGCAGCCGCGGUAAUACGGAGGGUGCAAGCGUUAUCCGGAUUUAUUGGGUUUAAAGGGUCCGUAGGCGGAUCUGUAAGUCAGUGGUGAAAUCUCAUAGCUUAACUAUGAAACUGCCAUUGAUACUGCAGGUCUUGAGUAAGGUAGAAGUAGCUGGAAUAAGUAGUGUAGCGGUGAAAUGCAUAGAUAUUACUUAGAACACCAAUUGCGAAGGCAGGUUACUAUGUCUUAACUGACGCUGAUGGACGAAAGCGUGGGGAGCGAACAGGAUUAGAUACCCUGGUAGUCCACGCUGUAAACGAUGCUAACUCGUUUUUGGGUUUUCGGAUUCAGAGACUAAGCGAAAGUGAUAGUUAGCCACCUGGGGAGUACGAACGCAAGUUUGAAACUCAAAGGAAUUGACGGG
Molecule: ribosomal RNA, 865 nt
Filed under: uncultured bacterium
Lineage: Bacteria
Description: bacterial SSU rRNA
Rfam family: Bacterial small subunit ribosomal RNA
Source: RNAcentral